GACGAACGCUGGCGGCAGGCUUAACACAUGCAAGUCGAGCGCACCGCAAGGGGAGUUGCAGACGUGUGAGUAACGCGUGGGGACGUACCCUUAUGUUCGGGAUAUCCCUGUGAAACUGGAAUUAAUACGGAAUGUGGGCUCUGAUGGAAAGUCUUAUCGUGUAAGGAUCGGAGCGCUAUGGAUUGGCUGGUUGGUAGGGUAAAGUCGUAGCAAGGCGACGAUCCAUAGCUGUUAUGAGAGGAUGAUCCUCCACACUGGAAAUGAGACACGGCCCAUAAUCCUACGCAAGGGAGCAGUGGGGAAUAUAGGAAAAUGGGGGCAAGCCUGAUCCAGCCAUGCCGGGUAAGUGAUGAAGGCCGUAGGGUAGUAAAGCUCUUUCAACGGAGAAGAUAAUGACGGUAUCCGGAGAAGAAGCCCCGGCUAACUUCGUG
Molecule: ribosomal RNA, 431 nt
Filed under: uncultured bacterium
Lineage: Bacteria
Description: partial 16S ribosomal RNA
Rfam family: Bacterial small subunit ribosomal RNA
Source: RNAcentral